AUACGGAGGGUGCAAGCGUUAUUCGGAAUCACUGGGCGUAAAGGACACGUAGGCGGGAAGCCAAGUCUGAUGUGAAAUCCUACAGCUUAACUGUAGAACUGCAUUGGAAACUGGUUACCUAGAGUAUGGGAGGGGGAGAUGGAAUUAGUGGUGUAGGGGUAAAAUCCGUAGAUAUCACUAGGAAUACCUAAAGCGAAGGCGAUCUCCUGGGACAUUACUGACGCUAAGGUGUGAAAGCGUGGGGAGCAAACGGGAUUAGAAACCCUAGUAGUCC
This 274-nucleotide ribosomal RNA is filed under the name uncultured bacterium. RNAcentral's name for it is "partial 16S ribosomal RNA". It matches the Rfam family "Bacterial small subunit ribosomal RNA", at positions 523 to 796 of the family's 1533-position model. The record is from RNAcentral.